Non-coding RNA from Salmo salar (Atlantic salmon), 58 nucleotides. The record is from Rfam. NCBI's taxonomy places the organism in Eukaryota, Metazoa, Chordata, Actinopteri, Salmoniformes, Salmonidae.
UAGCUCAGUUGGUAGAGCAUGGUGUUUGCAACGCCAGGAUUGUGGGUUUGAUUCCCAC